Molecule: non-coding RNA, 115 nt
Organism: Triticum aestivum (bread wheat)
Lineage: Eukaryota; Viridiplantae; Streptophyta; Magnoliopsida; Poales; Poaceae
Source: Rfam
UAAUUACUCCCUCUGUCCGGAAAUAUUUGUCCGAGGAAUGGAUAUAUUUUAGUUCUAGAUACAUCCAUUUGUAUUCAUUUCUAUGACAAGUAUUUCCGGACGGAGGGAGUAGCUU